RNAcentral lists this ribosomal RNA (308 nucleotides) under uncultured bacterium. RNAcentral describes it as "bacterial SSU rRNA". It matches the Rfam family "Bacterial small subunit ribosomal RNA", at positions 28 to 334 of the family's 1533-position model. The record is from RNAcentral.
GACGAACGCUGGCGGCGUGCCUAACACAUGCAAGUCGAACGGAAGUAAGUGCUUCGGUAUUUAUUUUAGUGGCGAACGGGUGGGUAACGCGUGAGGAACCUGCCUUUCAGUGGGGGACAACAGUUGGAAACGACUGCUAAUACCGCAUGACGCUUCUUGGGGGCAUCCCCGAGAAGUCAAAGCUUUAUGUGCUGAAAGAUGGCCUCGCGUCUGAUUAGCUAGUUGGUGGGGUAACGGCCUACCAAGGCGACGAUCAGUAGCCGGACUGAGAGGUUGAACGGCCACAUUGGGACUGAGAUACGGCCCAG